This 464-nucleotide ribosomal RNA is filed under the name uncultured bacterium. Its description in RNAcentral is "partial 16S ribosomal RNA". It matches the Rfam family "Bacterial small subunit ribosomal RNA", at positions 338 to 795 of the family's 1533-position model. The record is from RNAcentral.
CCUACGGGGGGCUGCAGUAGGGAAUUUUCGGCAAUGGGGGGAACCCUGACCCAGCAACGCCGCGUGAAGGAAGAAGGAAUUCGUUCUGUAAACUUCUGUUAUAAAGGAAGAAAGACGGCUGGAGGAGAUGACAUCCGAGUGACGGUACUUUAUGAGAAAGCCACGGCUAACUACGUGCCGGCAGCCGCGGUAAUACGAAGGUGGCAAGCGUGAUCCGGAAAUAUUGGGGGAAAAGAGGUAGCAGGCGUCAGAAAAGGUCUGUGGUGAAAGACUGAAGCUUAACUUUAGUAAGCAAAAGAAACAGGUCAGCUAGAGUGCAGGAGAGGUUAGUGGAAUUCCAUGUGUAGCGGUGAAAUGCGUAGAUAUAUGGAGGAACACCAGUGGCGAAGGCGACGAUCUGGCCUGCAACUGACGCUCAGGCAUGAAAGCGUGGGGAGCAAAUAGGAUUAGAUACCCCGGUAGUC